GGUAUUGUUUACCACCAUUUUUUGGCCCCGGAAACCAGAAAAUAACGAAUGCAAGGAACGGCAUUCACAAGUAAACAAAGA
Streptococcus sp. is the source of this 81-nucleotide regulatory RNA element. It matches the Rfam family "Ribosomal protein L13 leader". From Rfam's summary of the family: This family is a putative r-protein leader autoregulatory structure found in B. subtilis and other low-GC Gram-positive bacteria. It is located in the 5' untranslated regions of mRNAs encoding the L13-S9 (rplM-rpsI) ribosomal protein operon. NCBI's taxonomy places the organism in Bacteria, Bacillati, Bacillota, Bacilli, Lactobacillales, Streptococcaceae. The record is from Rfam.